GCGAGUGAAGCGGCAACAGCUCAAAUUUGAAAGCUGGCUCCGGCCCGCAUUGUAAUUUGCAGAGGAUGCUUUUGGCGAGGUGCCUUCCGAGUUCCCUGGAACGGGACGCCAUAGAGGGUGAGAGCCCCGUAUGGAUGGACACCAGACCUGUGUAAAGCUCCUUCAACGAGUCGAGUAGUUUGGGAAUGCUGCUCUAAAUGGGAGGUAAAUCUCUUCUAAAGCUAAAUACCGGCCAGAGACCGAUAGCGCACAAGUAGAGUGAUCGAAAGAUGAAAAGCACCUUGAAAAGGGGGUUAAACAGUACGUGAAAUUGUUGAAAGGGAAGCGCUUGUGACCAGACUUGCGCCGGGCAGCUCAUCAGGGGUUCUCCCCUGUGCACUCUGCCCGGCUCAGGCCAGCAUCGGUUCUCGUGGGAGGAUAAGAACAGUGGGAACGUGGCCCCCUCUCGGGGGGGUGUUAUAGCCCAUUGUACGAUACUCUCGUGGGGACCGAGGUUCGCGCUCCGCAAGGAUGCUGGC
This 518-nucleotide ribosomal RNA is filed under the name Cytospora mali-spectabilis. RNAcentral describes it as "Cytospora sp. XF-2019m partial 28S ribosomal RNA". It matches the Rfam family "Eukaryotic large subunit ribosomal RNA", at positions 89 to 630 of the family's 3401-position model. The record is from RNAcentral. Lineage: Eukaryota; Fungi; Ascomycota; Sordariomycetes; Diaporthales; Cytosporaceae.